GGCGGUAGGCCUAACACAUGCAAGUCGAACGGCAGCACAGAGGAGCUUGCUCCUUGGGUGGCGAGUGGCGGACGGGUGAGGAAUACAUCGGAAUCUACUCUGUCGUGGGGGAUAACGUAGGGAAACUUACGCUAAUACCGCAUACGACCUACGGGUGAAAGCAGGGGAUCUUCGGACCUUGCGCGAUUGAAUGAGCCGAUGUCGGAUUAGCUAGUUGGCGGGGUAAAGGCCCACCAAGGCGACGAUCCGUAGCUGGUCUGAGAGGAUGAUCAGCCACACUGGAACUGAGACACGGUCCAGACUCCUACGGGAGGCAGCAGUGGGGAAUAUUGGACAAUGGGCGCAAGCCUGAUCCAGCCAUACCGCGUGGGUGAAGAAGGCCUUCGGGUUGUAAAGCCCUUUUGUUGGGAAAGAAAUCCAGCUGGCUAAUACCCGGUUGGGAUGACGGUACCCAAAGAAUAAGCACCGGCUAACUUC
Molecule: ribosomal RNA, 477 nt
Filed under: Stenotrophomonas maltophilia
Lineage: Bacteria; Pseudomonadati; Pseudomonadota; Gammaproteobacteria; Lysobacterales; Lysobacteraceae
Description: bacterial SSU rRNA
Rfam family: Bacterial small subunit ribosomal RNA
Source: RNAcentral